RNAcentral lists this ribosomal RNA (484 nucleotides) under uncultured bacterium. RNAcentral describes it as "bacterial SSU rRNA". It matches the Rfam family "Bacterial small subunit ribosomal RNA", at positions 33 to 507 of the family's 1533-position model. The record is from RNAcentral.
ACUACGCUGGCGGCGUGCCUAAUACAUGCAAGGUCGAACGGGAUUUUUUGAUCAGCUUGCUGAGAGAAGGAUCUAGUGGCGGACGGGUGAGUAACGCGUGGGAAUCUGCCUCUUACUGGGGGAUAACAGUGGGAAACUACUGCUAAUACCGCAUAAGAUCUUCGGAUGAAAGGUGCAACUGCACCGGUAAGAGAUGAGCCCGCGUCCCAUUAGCUAGUUGGUGAGGUAAAGGCUCACCAAGGCGACGAUGGGUAGCCGGCCUGAGAGGGUGAACGGCCACACUGGGACUGAGACACGGCCCAGACUCCUACGGGAGGCAGCAGUAGGGAAUCUUCCGCAAUGGGCGCAAGCCUGACGGAGCGACGCCGCGUGAGUGAUGAAGGCCUUCGGGUCGUAAAGCUCUGUUCUUGAGGACGAAUAAGCCAGGGAGUGGAAAGCCCUGGUGAUGACUGUACUCAAGGAGAAAGCUCCGGCUAACUACGUG